UCUCUCAGGAUGGCGAGCAGCAGCGGCUCCAAGGCCGAAUUCAUUGUCGGAGGGAAAUACAAACUGGUACGGAAGAUCGGGUCUGGCUCCUUCGGGGACAUUUAUCUGGCGAUCAACAUUACCAACGGCGAGGAAGUGGCAGUGAAGCUAGAAUCUCAGAAGGCCAGGCAUCCCCAGUUGCUGUACGAGAGCAAACUCUAUAAGAUCCUUCAAGGUGGGGUGGGCAUCCCCCACAUACGGUGGUAUGGUCAGGAAAAAGACUACAAUGUGCUAGUCAUGGAUCUUCUCGGACCCAGCCUCGAAGACCUCUUCAAUUUCUGUUCAAGAAGGUUCACAAUGAAAACUGUACUUAUGUUAGCUGACCAGAUGAUCAGUAGAAUUGAAUAUGUGCAUACAAAGAAUUUUAUACACAGAGACAUUAAACCAGAUAACUUCCUAAUGGGUAUUGGGCGUCACUGUAAUAAGUGUUUAGAAUCUCCAGUGGGGAAGAGGAAAAGAAGCAUGACUGUUAGUACUUCUCAGGACCCAUCUUUCUCAGGAUUAAACCAGUUAUUCCUUAUUGAUUUUGGUUUGGCCAAAAAGUACAGAGACAACAGGACAAGGCAACACAUACCAUACAGAGAAGAUAAAAAUCUCACUGGCACCGCCCGAUAUGCUAGCAUCAAUGCACAUCUCGGUAUUGAACAGAGUCGCCGAGAUGACAUGGAAUCAUUAGGAUAUGUUUUGAUGUAUUUUAAUAGAACCAGCCUGCCCUGGCAAGGACUAAAGGCUGCGACAAAAAAGCAAAAAUAUGAAAAGAUAAGUGAAAAGAAGAUGUCUACUCCUGUUGAAGUUUUAUGUAAGGGGUUUCCUGCAGAAUUUGCCAUGUACUUAAACUAUUGUCGUGGGCUGCGCUUUGAGGAAGCCCCGGAUUACAUGUAUCUGAGGCAGCUAUUCCGCAUUCUUUUCAGGACUCUGAACCACCAGUAUGACUACACAUUUGAUUGGACAAUGUUAAAGCAGAAAGCAGCACAGCAGGCAGCCUCUUCAAGUGGGCAGGGUCAGCAGGCCCAAACCCCCACAGGUCUUAAAGAUGAGAAGUUGGAUCCAGUGAGUUAGUAUGUUUCCUUGGAAAAAAAAUUGUAAUUAAACUUAAGUUUAAUCCUUAAUUUUGUAUUGUAACUAUUUUUCAUAAAAGCAACUUUAAAUAUCUUACACAGUUUGCGGGGCACUUGGCUGGGUCAGUAGAGCCUAUGGCUCUUGAUCUCAGGGCCUGAGUUUUAGCCCCACUUUGGGGGUAGAGUUUACCUAAAAAAAAUAAAAAAUCUUACAAAAUUUUCACGGCAAUCAUAGACACAGGGUUUAUAUAAAUUACUACAUAAACAUCAACUUGUAAAAUAUUGAAAAAUUGGAUUUUUCAUAAAAUGCAUCAUUUACCAUUGACUGCUUUCAGAGAGACAUUUUCAGGUGGUAUAUUUUGAUUCCAAGCAAAAUACUGCUUGCUACUAAAAUAUGCCAGGCCCCGGAAUACAAACAACAAAAUUGUGUUUGAUCUUUGGCUUCUCGAAACGUUUGUUUUGUCUUGGAUCUAGAACUUAGUGCCCCAGGCAGAUCUCAUGUGAAAUCCCCUCAGUAUAAAGCCAUGAAUGUGUACGGCAGGUUUGAAGGUGGCAUGAAAUAAGUUUGGGGAGCCUACUUCCCUAACCCCAGCCGUGUUUAUCCAGACCAUCUAUUGAGAAAUCUCCUAUGAAGUCUGGAGUUUGAAGACAGUCCCUUUUAGGUGACUUACUCCUUAUUUCAAUCUCUGUGUAAUAAGGGUGUUUAAAAGCAUGUUAUUCUCUUAGGGUCCACUACAGUCAUUUUUUUUAUUCAAGGAAGAGCUCUCCUGCAGCUCAACUCUUCACUAAUUCCAAGAAAUCCUUUCAGUGACGAUAACAUCAUAUAAUACAUUUUUCUGGUUAAAACUUUAGAAGGCACUUACCUAAUACAUCCUAUCAGUUUUUGUUCACGGAAUUAUACGCUGAGGUUUUCCAAAGCAGAGAAUUUGGUUUCUUAAAUGUAUCUUCAGCACAUGAAACUGUAUACUGCAGGGAUAUCUAUUCCUGGAAAAAUCCCCCGAACUGGUUGACAUAUUAAUAUAUUUUACGUUAUUAGUUUUAGUUUUUGAAAAUUGUAUAUGGGAUGUUUCUUCCAUGGAAAGGUGUGUGUGUAAUAAGUUGUUUCAGCAGUUCACUGUGAAUGUCCAAAAAGUCUUUUAAAGUCUGACUUACUCAGCUAAGAUGGGUUUAUUAUGUGUAAUAGACUUCUAUCCUAAUUACUUUUCUAAAGAAAAGAUCUUUUGAAGUACUCCUUUCCAAGGCCCAUCAAAAGACUAAGAAAUAAGGCGUUUCUCGUUUUUUGUAAAGCCCACUAUGAUGUGUACUAAUUUUCGGUGCUCUUAUGCCACAAGAUUAUAAUUAGUUUUUAUACAUGUUAAAGAGAAAAAUAAAAGAUUCACAUCUGAGACACUUCCAAAUUCAUUUCGCUUCCUUUUAUUCAACUGUAUGUGAUUAUCAGGAAAGUAGUUUUUAAGACAUUUAAGAAUUACUGAAGGGAAAAGGAAAUCUUUUUAGGACAUUCAUAAUCCAGUUAAGUUCACCAUUUCUUUAGUUGAGGUCAGAGAUGGGGAGAAUUUCAGAAGGUAGUGAAGCCAAAGUUGGAUCCUUACAUAAUUCUAUUAUCAUCUUAGUCCCUCUGUUCACUACUCCAAGCCGUUGAUAUUAAGCAUAGUUUUAUCAUAAUCACAUACGUGGAUGUCAGAUUGUUGACAGUCAAAAAAUAGAAAAUUUUUCUAUCACAUUCUCCUACCAUGUCCAUGGUCUUCCUUGAAUUACCUUCCAGUGUUUACUGGAAUUCACCUACCAUUUAUGUCUAGCUUAACUUUUUCUGACUUCACCAAUUGCUGCUAGGAACGUGGCUGGUCACUCAGCAACGUAACCCAAAUCACAGGGGAAGACCUUGAAAUAAUCUGGAGACUGAUCUUCUCUGAAUACACUCAAUCUAAAGAAGUGCCAGGGAGCUGCAUCUGCUUGCUGAAAUUUUUGUCAGCUUUUUUCAUUGUGGACACUACCACUGGAGAGAAAAGAGCUCAGUAACCCAACAGGAAACGAAGACGAGUGUGCAAGAAUUGAUUUGUGGUCAUCUGAAUGAAUCUCACAUCUCCAAGGCUGGCUGGACUUACCAAACAUGAACUUGUCCGAAAAUCUGGACGAUACCACAACAGUCUGAAGACCUAGAGGAGUACAGUGUUGCUGUGACUCAGUGGUGUAUAAUGCAGACCAUCUACCAGUUGGGGAAGGAAUCAAUUGUAACAGGAGCAAAAGGAUCCCUUCCUUAUUUUAACUGUUGUUGCAGUGAAGAUGGGUGUUUGGACUUUUAGAAGCCAGGAGACACCACCUAAAUUACAAGAUAAAAACCAAGGAAUCAAUGCACACUGGAAAAAGGAAUGCACUUGAAGAUUGAAUGUUGAAUACUUGCUGAAUGCUCCCAUUGAGAUUUUUCCUACAUAAACUUGAGUAACAUCUUAGGACAAUUCUCUGGAGAAACAUUGAUCCCUGGGUGGAGUAUCCUACCAUUGGCCGAUCUGAAGAGUUACAUCUGGAUCUGACUGCUCUAUUCCUCCAGGAAUAUUUUUAGGCUAGCCUCUGUCUGAUUCCUAAGCAAUUGUAAUCAUUAACUGACCCAGUAAUUUUUCAAAUAUCAGAUGAACAGAUACAAUUCUUACCUAGAUCUAAUUUUUAUCCCUAUUAAAGACACAAGAGUAUUCUAAUAUUU
Neofelis nebulosa (Clouded leopard) is the source of this 3792-nucleotide RNA transcript. It is a transcript of the gene named casein kinase 1 alpha 1, with no coding region annotated. NCBI's taxonomy places the organism in Eukaryota, Metazoa, Chordata, Mammalia, Carnivora, Felidae. The record is from RefSeq and is a predicted model, not a curated record. The transcript has 12 exons.